CAGAUAUUAGUUUAAAUAAAAUAUUAAUUUUGGAGAUUAAAAAUAAAGGUAAUUCUUUAUAUCUGA
This 66-nucleotide transfer RNA is filed under the name Hecataeus sp. BMNH 704468. Its description in RNAcentral is "tRNA-Pro". The record is from RNAcentral. Lineage: Eukaryota; Metazoa; Arthropoda; Insecta; Coleoptera; Chrysomelidae.